Molecule: ribosomal RNA, 253 nt
Filed under: uncultured bacterium
Lineage: Bacteria
Description: partial 16S ribosomal RNA
Rfam family: Bacterial small subunit ribosomal RNA
Source: RNAcentral
UACGUAGGGUGCAAGCGUUGUCCGGAAUUAUUGGGCGUAAAGAGCUCGUAGGCGGUCUGUCGCGUCGGAUGUGAAAAUCCAGGGCUCAACCCUGGACCUGCAUUCGAUACGGGCAGACUAGAGUUCGGCAGGGGAGACUGGAAUUCCUGGUGUAGCGGUGAAAUGCGCAGAUAUCAGGAGGAACACCCGUAGCGAAGGCGGCACACUGGGCCGGUACUGACGCUGAGGAGCGAAAGCGUGGGGAGCAAACAGG